UUGCUUUAUUGUCAGCUAAGUGGCGCACGGGUGAUUAAUAUAUAGGUAACGUGCCUUCAAUAAGGGGAUAACAAUUGGAAACGAUUGCUAAAACCCUAUAUGCCUUUAAGACUUAAGUCUGCAAGGGAAAUAUUUAUAGCUUGAAGAUCGGCCUGUACAGUAUCAGUUAUUUGGUGAGGUAAUGGCUCACCAAGACAAUGACGCUUAACUGGUUUGAGAGGAUGAUCAGUCACACUGGAACUGAGACACGGUCCAGACUCCUACGGGAGGCAGCUUUGGGGAAUAUUGCACAAUGGACGAAAGUCUGAUGCAGCAACGCCGCGUGGAGGAUGACACAUUUCGGUGCGUAAACUCCUUUUUUAUAGGAAGAUAAUGACGGUACUAUAUGAAUAAGCACCGGCUA
This 403-nucleotide ribosomal RNA is filed under the name uncultured Arcobacter sp. Its description in RNAcentral is "bacterial SSU rRNA". It matches the Rfam family "Bacterial small subunit ribosomal RNA", at positions 74 to 499 of the family's 1533-position model. The record is from RNAcentral. Lineage: Bacteria; Pseudomonadati; Campylobacterota; Epsilonproteobacteria; Campylobacterales; Arcobacteraceae.